Molecule: transfer RNA, 86 nt
Filed under: Caudoviricetes sp.
Lineage: Duplodnaviria; Heunggongvirae; Uroviricota; Caudoviricetes
Description: tRNA-Ser
Source: RNAcentral
GGCGCGAUGGAGUAACGGUAUCUCAGGAGAUUGCUAAUCUCUCCAUCGGGCAAACCGAUGUCCACGUUCGAAUCGUGGUCGCGCCG